This 494-nucleotide ribosomal RNA is filed under the name uncultured bacterium. RNAcentral's name for it is "bacterial SSU rRNA". It matches the Rfam family "Bacterial small subunit ribosomal RNA", at positions 34 to 524 of the family's 1533-position model. The record is from RNAcentral.
GCCGCUGGCGGCAAGCCUUACACAUGCAAGUCGAGCGAGAAAGUUCUUCGGAACGAGUAGAGCGGCGGACGGGUGAGUAACGCGUAGAAAUCUGCCUGGUAGUGGGGGACAACAUGGGGAAACUCAUGCUAAUACCGCAUACGCCCUAUGGGGGAAAGCGGGGGAUCUUCGGACCUCGCGCUAUCAGAUGAGUCUGCGUAGGAUUAGCUUGUUGGUGGGGUAAAAGCCUACCAAGGCAACGAUCCUUAGCUGGUCUGAGAGGACGAUCAGCCACACUGGGACUGAGACACGGCCCAGACUCCUACGGGAGGCAGCAGUGGGGAAUAUUGCACAAUGGGCGCAAGCCUGAUGCAGCUAUGCCGCGUGUGUGAAGAAGGCUCUAGGGUUGUAAAGCACUUUCAAUUGGGAGAAAAAGCUAAUGGUUAAUACCCAUUAGCCCUGAUGUUACCUUUAGAAGAAGCACCGGCUAACUCCGUGCCAGCAGCCGCGGUAAU